AAACUAUUUAGUUUAAAAAAAAUAUUAAUUUUGUAAAUUAAUGAUGAAUAAUUAUUUAAUAGUU
This 64-nucleotide transfer RNA is filed under the name Orthogonalys pulchella. RNAcentral describes it as "tRNA-Thr". The record is from RNAcentral. Lineage: Eukaryota; Metazoa; Arthropoda; Insecta; Hymenoptera; Trigonalidae.